The sequence is a non-coding RNA, 98 nucleotides long. It matches the Rfam family "TPP riboswitch aptamer (THI element)". From Rfam's summary of the family: Vitamin B(1) in its active form thiamin pyrophosphate (TPP) is an essential coenzyme that is synthesised by coupling of pyrimidine and thiazole moieties in bacteria. The previously detected thiamin-regulatory element, thi box was extended, resulting in a new, highly conserved RNA secondary structure, the THI element, which is widely distributed in eubacteria and also occurs in some archaea. Analysis of operon structures identified a large number of new candidate thiamin-regulated genes, mostly transporters, in various prokaryotic organisms.
GUCCGCGACACGGGGUGCUGCCCAUCCGGGCGGCUGAGAUCACACCCGUCGAACCUGAUCUGGGUAGUUCCAGCGAAGGAAUGUCGAUACAGCACUCG